GUCGACGGUGAAAGAGGAGCUUGCUCCUCUGGAUCAGUGGCGAACGGGUGAGUAACACGUGAGUAACCUGCCCUUGACUCUGGGAUAAGCGUUGGAAACGACGUCUAAUACCGGAUAUGAACCGUGGAGGCAUCUCCUGCGGUUGGAAAGAAUUUCGGUCAAGGAUGGACUCGCGGCCUAUCAGGUAGUUGGUGAGGUAACGGCUCACCAAGCCGACGACGGGUAGCCGGCCUGAGAGGGUGACCGGCCACACUGGGACUGAGACACGGCCCAGACUCCUACGGGAGGCAGCAGUGGGGAAUAUUGCACAAUGGGCGAAAGCCUGAUGCAGCAACGCCGCGUGAGGGACGACGGCCUUCGGGUUGUAAACCUCUUUUAGCAGGGAAGAAGCGAAAGUGACGGUACCUGCAGAAAAAGCACCGGCUAACUACGUGCCAGCAGCCGCGGUAAUACGUAGGGUGCAAGCGUUGUCCGGAAUUAUUGGGCGUAAAGAGCUCGUAGGCGGUUUGUCGCGUCUGCUGUGAAAACGCGAGGCUCAACCUCGCGCCUGCAGUGGGUACGGGCAGACUAGAGUGCGGUAGGGGAGAUUGGAAUUCCUGGUGUAGCGGUGGAAUGCGCAGAUAUCAGGAGGAACACCGAUGGCGAAGGCAGAUCUCUGGGCCGUAACUGACGCUGAGGAGCGAAAGCGUGGGGAGCGAACAGGAUUAGAUACCCUGGUAGUCCACGCCGUAAACGUUGGGAACUAGAUGUGGGGACCAUUCCACGGUCUCCGUGUCGC
RNAcentral lists this ribosomal RNA (778 nucleotides) under Labedella endophytica. Its description in RNAcentral is "bacterial SSU rRNA". It matches the Rfam family "Bacterial small subunit ribosomal RNA", at positions 61 to 849 of the family's 1533-position model. Lineage: Bacteria; Bacillati; Actinomycetota; Actinomycetes; Micrococcales; Microbacteriaceae. The record is from RNAcentral.